UUUUCCUUGAGCUCAGUCGGUAGAGCACUGUGUUACCAACACAAAGAUCAUGGGUUUGAACCCCAGGGAAAG
Danionella cerebrum is the source of this 72-nucleotide non-coding RNA. Lineage: Eukaryota; Metazoa; Chordata; Actinopteri; Cypriniformes; Danionidae. The record is from the annotation of a GenBank genome assembly.